Acanthopagrus latus (yellowfin seabream) is the source of this 475-nucleotide long non-coding RNA. RefSeq lists it as uncharacterized. The transcript has 3 exons. The record is from RefSeq and is a predicted model, not a curated record. NCBI's taxonomy places the organism in Eukaryota, Metazoa, Chordata, Actinopteri, Spariformes, Sparidae.
GAGUUCACACUAGAUGAAUAAACACAAUGAGUCCCGCCCACAGACUUUCUGACGAAUGCAGGUGGAGCGCGCCGAAAAGGGGCGGUCUCGCUCGUUUCCCGCGUGAAAUUAGUGGAUUUCCCUCCAAAACUGUAGAUGUGUAUUUAAAUAGCUGUUGGAUCGUCACUCUGGUUCCAGCGGCUCUACUCUGAGGACACGAAUACGGUGAACAGUGGGACUUGUCUUCAGCUUCAGGUGGAACAGCUCUGACCUGUAUGGUGAUCAGACCCGGAGAGGAGACACACCUGGUCCAACCAGGUGAUGUAUGGACAGUUGAAAGGACGAAUCACCAAGAUGAGCCAAUCAAUGGAGACGAGCCGCCACAGGAGCCUGAACCUGUACUUCACGAGGGGGAUCAAACAUGGCUGAUAUAUCUGCAGUUCACUGCUCGUUUCUCCAGAACGAGAGCAGCCAGGAGCUGAAAGUUGUGGGCAGA